Molecule: ribosomal RNA, 687 nt
Filed under: Triticum aestivum (bread wheat)
Lineage: Eukaryota; Viridiplantae; Streptophyta; Magnoliopsida; Poales; Poaceae
Description: partial small subunit ribosomal RNA
Source: RNAcentral
AUGCAUACAGGAGAAGAAACUUACCCUGUCAGGACCGGGACGGGGGCCGGCCUUCCAUGCACGGCGCCACGCUUCCUCUUGGCCGGCCUCGGGUCCCGGCCGGGUCCGCCGCGCACUUCGGGGCCCAAGGCCGCACCGCGGCGCUUUCUUUUCCAUGCGGGUGGCUCGGCGCCGCCCCACGCGACGACCCGGAUCCGCCCGCGUCGCCGCCUCCUCCACCCAGCGCCACACCAACAACUGGCAUCAGCAUCACCCGCGUCGUGCCACGGUCAACAACUCGAGAAACACGAAGAAAAGGACAAGGCUUACCCACGCGACGCCCAGCGUCGGUGUCGGCCUCGGCCUCCUCCCCACCGUGGGCCGCGGGCUCCUCCGACGCCACCCGCUCCACCUGCGACGGAGCUCGGGCGUAAGGAUGCCGGAUCGCGUUCAGAAGCACCUCCCGCAUCGCGUCAGGGUGAACAAGGAGAUGCGCAGCAGCAAAGUAAGGUGACCAAACACUCACCAGUGGCGCCGGAUCGACUCGCUGUACGGCACCUUGCCGAACCGCCAGUCCUCCCCAAGGUUGGCCUUGGAGAUAUCAUUCACUCGGCACGCGAUCUGCUCCGUCGUCAGGCACGUCGUUCCCAUGCGGUUGGGAUCUUGAAGACCGGCCAUCUCGCCGAUGAGGCAGGAGCGCCUCUGUAG